Molecule: long non-coding RNA, 2288 nt
Organism: Cajanus cajan (pigeon pea)
Lineage: Eukaryota; Viridiplantae; Streptophyta; Magnoliopsida; Fabales; Fabaceae
Source: RefSeq, a predicted model, not a curated record
UUUCUUGAUGGCUGGAAAAAGGAGAAGAUUGGAGAAGAAAGAGAGAACAGAGUAAUCGAAGUACCUGGUACUCUUGUCACAAACGAAAGAACGGUAAAGAAAGAGCACAACCCAAUUACCGAAAAUGGCGACGGAAACAGAGAAGACGAAGAUGAAAGAUUAACGGAAGCGAGGAAGACAGCGUGCGCAAGAAGCUGAAAGGGCGAAAAAGAGUAAAGUGAAUGAGAAAGGGCGCGAGAGAGAGAAAGAGGGUUUUCCGAAAUCUAAAUGGUCACAACACGUGUCAGCCAGGGAGCAUAGCUGGCGACACACUUAACGACCUCCAUUAUGACGAGCACCAGUCAUAAUCGCAUAACCGUCACCCUCACUCACGCGCCACAUGUACGUUUUCAAAAACGAGACAAUAGUUGCGACACGUGGCAUCUCGACAGGCAGGCGUGCGCGAAGGGUCACGGCCACUAGACGAGCUCGGUCUUAACUCCUCGACCUACGGUCUUUGGAACUCGGGGGGCUAGUUUACUAUCUGUACCGCCAUGCCGAGCUCGGUAUCACAGCGCAGGAUGACCUCGGACAUGCGCUGGGCGAUUUCGGUCUAGGCGAGAUCCGCUAUCUAAUCAAAUCAUAACUAAUCUCGGGCCCAAGGCCCAACACAACCCUAAUUCGCACCAAGGUACCGUACCACCCCCAUCUUGGAACACCAACAUACCAGUGAAAAAGGCUCACCAAUCUUACUUGGCGGAUCAUCUUUACAACAAAUUUUCGGUAAGAACAACUCUGGAAUUCAAUUGUUUCAAACACCCUUAUUAGCCACCUAAGGAACCACUGAAUUCUCAACACCAAAAAGAUGAACCACUAGCUUUGUAAAAUUCAAGACACUUACAGAAUUGACAUAUAAAUCAACUUGCAUAAAAAUAAAAAUAAAAACCAUUAAUUGUAAUCUCUUACAAAUAAAUAUCAAAUUAAAAGGACCCGUUUUCAAAUUACAAAAUAUUUUUCCAGCAAACAACAAUUUUAAUCUCUGAAAUAUGUAAGUGACAUUGACACGGUCCUUCAUUUUAAUUUCUAAGAAUUUAAGGGUCAAAUGCUUUAAUAUUAUCCUUACUAAAACUCAACAGUAAUCAUAAAUGCUUUAGCGUUUAAUAUUGACUUGUCACCUUAGGUGACAUUACAAUUUGCAUCCAUAUUCAUUCCAGAAUGACGAGUGUUUAUUAGCUAAUUCCCCAUCCUCUUUCUAGUUUUCACUAACAUUUGUUCUCCCCUCAAGCUCAACAAAAAAAUCGAGGGCCACGAGUCCCGGUGUUUCCAUCUCCCCAUCUUGAUUUGACUAAUAAAUAUUAAAAUGCACAUUGCAACAACUAGUAACCAAGUCCAAGGCACACAACUUUCCACGACUACAGGGGGCUAUGAGUGUUAGAUUAUAUUUGCUUUGAGAAGCUAGAACUUUCUUAAUAAAGGAAAUGGAAGUCAAAAUUGGUCAUUGUCACAUUUGAGUUUGUAACAGUCACAUUCCAAAUAAAACUUAGGUGAGUGAGAGUAAUUUAUUUAAAAAAAUAAAAAUUAAUAAUCAUCAUUAUAUAUAUAUAUAUAUAAUAAAAUAAAAUAUAAAUGUAAAAAAUAAUCAUUAAUGAAUUCAAUUUAUAAAAUUAGAAAUGAAAAAUAUAAUAUUUUUUAAAUAUACUUUAAUAAUUUAAUUAAAAUAAGGGAGUACAUUCAUCCACUCUCACUAUAAUAUAAUAUAAGUUUAUUACUAGUUUGUACGAUAUGGUUUACUCACAUUCAAGUCUAACAAAUUCCAAACAUGUGUUGGUGAAAGUUCUAAAAAGAAAGGUUAGUAGUUUCUAUUGAUGACCCUUCCACCCUCACCAACCAUAACAUAGUGGUGUUCCAAGUAUUGAAAACUUUGCAAAUGAUGCUUUGGUGGUCAACAAUGUAACCUCUGUGUAGCUAGCGGAGCAAAAGGAUUGGGAUUCUGAUUGGCCUCUUGCACUCCUUCCACAUUGAAAUUGGUUGCUGAAUGUCUGAGGAUCCCCCGUAAGGGGGCUUUGCUUUGUGGUGACUGCUAGAAUUGGUUUUGUCAAAUAAAUUUUCUAAACAUGUUAUGGAGUUGUCAUUGUUGGAAGAAGAAAAAGAUGACAAUGAUGAAGGAAAUAUAUGACAGUUAAGUUUUUGAUGUGAUUUUUUCCCAUCUCAUAAAAUAACAUUAUUUUUAAUGAAUGUUGAUGCCAUUAGGGUAAUGGACAACUAUGUGCAUGUUUAGUUUAUAAUAUUUAAUGUGAUUUUAGGUAAUC